CUCUCUCUCUUUCUUUUUCUUCUUCCUCUGCACGCUCGACCGAACCAGCUUCUUUCUUCUCCUUCUUCUCUUCGCGUGCGAACCGGGAGCUCGGAGCAAAAGCAGCGCAGCUCGUCCCGCCGCCGCACCGCCGCACCGUCGCCCGCGCCGCGCCCGCGCACCCGUCGCCGUCCCGCCGUCCGCGCACGCCCAGGCCGCGCGACCCAGCUGCUGUUCGCUCCUGUUCCAGCUUCGACCAGCCACCGUCCGGCCACCUCCGGCCACCGCCUAGCCCGCCGGACCUCCCCUGCAACCCCCUCGCCCUCCGCCGACUUCCC
RNAcentral lists this long non-coding RNA (317 nucleotides) under Eucalyptus grandis. RNAcentral describes it as "long non-coding RNA (EGRA_LNC001542)". The record is from RNAcentral. Lineage: Eukaryota; Viridiplantae; Streptophyta; Magnoliopsida; Myrtales; Myrtaceae.